GAUUGUUAAACAUCAUAAAACAAUAAAGUCAAACACAUCACGGACUAAAAUUGAAGGCUAUAAAGUUAAUGCCGUUAAAUAUGCUGUAGGAUAGGAUACCCCCCACCCCAACACACCACCCCCUUUUGGUGGUAGGUUUAAAUUAAUGGUAAUGUGAUAGGUUUAAAUUAGAUUUCAGUAAAGGUAAAGUAUAUAGUUAUUUCAUUUUGCUAAACCAUGCCUACUAACUCAUAUAACUUUGACUUUAAUUCAAGUAUGAAAUGCCCUUCCCAUUGAAUAUUGAUGUUAGUACUUUUACUUUAUAUGAUGAACGAUCUUAGCACUUAGCAUAUUAAGUAAUACAUUACAUAGUACAUUAUUUAUAUCUUAAAAAAAACUAAUUAUCUCCGGUCUCAAAAUAAGCAACAAAAGAGAAAUAUAUUUAAUGGUCUAAAAUACAAACAAUAGUAUUAACUACUUACUGUCAAAAAAAAAAGUAUUAACUACUUCUACCUUAAUAAAAUUUAGCCGUUCAAAAAAAAAAAACUACUUCUAAGUUCUACCUUAUCUGAUUGAUGAUAUUAUUUUUUAUUACCUUCAAUUAAUUUAAAUUUUAUUUUUUACUGUAGUAAUUAUUUUAUUGUCAUGGAACAAAUUUUUAUAAUGGACAACUUAAACACAAUUACAAAAUUAAUGAGAUUAAUUAUUUUUCUUAAAUGGUAAAGUAAUUUUUUUUCUUUUUUUUUUUUUUGACUCAAAAUAAGGAUAUUCAUUCAUUCCAAUAAUUGAUACAGUACAUCA
Molecule: long non-coding RNA, 780 nt
Filed under: Trifolium pratense (red clover)
Lineage: Eukaryota; Viridiplantae; Streptophyta; Magnoliopsida; Fabales; Fabaceae
Description: long non-coding RNA (TPRA_LNC012750)
Source: RNAcentral